Molecule: ribosomal RNA, 253 nt
Filed under: uncultured bacterium
Lineage: Bacteria
Description: partial 16S ribosomal RNA
Rfam family: Bacterial small subunit ribosomal RNA
Source: RNAcentral
UACGGAGGGUGCGAGCGUUGUCCGGAAUCAUUGGGCGUAAAGGGCGCGUAGGUGGCCCGGUCAGUCCGUGGUGAAAGCGCGGGGCUCAACCCCGCGUCGGCCAUGGAUACUGCUGGGCUGGAGCACUGUAGAGGCAGGCGGAAUUCCGGGUGUAGCGGUGGAAUGCGUAGAGAUCCGGAAGAACACCGGUGGCGAAGGCGGCCUGCUGGGCAGUUGCUGACACUGAGGCGCGACAGCGCGGGGAGCAAACAGG